UUUAUGGAGAGUUUGAUCCUGGCUCAGGAUGAACGCUGGCGGCGUGCCUAAUACAUGCAAGUCGAGCGAACGGACGAGAAGCUUGCUUCUCUGAUGUUAGCGGCGGACGGGUGAGUAACACGUGGAUAACCUACCUAUAAGACUGGGAUAACUUCGGGAAACCGGAGCUAAUACCGGAUAAUAUUUUGAACCGCAUGGUUCAAAAGUAAAAGACGGUCUUGCUGUCACUUAUAGAUGGAUCCGCGCUGCAUUAGCUAGUUGGUAAGGUAACGGCUUACCAAGGCAACGAUGCAUAGCCGACCUGAGAGGGUGAUCAGCCACACUGGAACUGAGACACGGUCCAGACUCCUACGGGAGGCAGCAGUAGGGAAUCUUCCGCAAUGGGCGAAAGCCUGACGGAGCAACGCCGCGUGAGUGAUGAAGGUCUUCGGAUCGUAAAACUCUGUUAUUAGGGAAGAACAUAUGUGUAAGUAACUGUGCACAUCUUGACGGUACCUAAUCAGAAAGCCACGGCUAACUACGUGCCAGCAGCCGCGGUAAUACGUAGGUGGCAAGCGUUAUCCGGAAUUAUUGGGCGUAAAGCGCGCGUAGGCGGUUUUUUAAGUCUGAUGUGAAAGCCCACGGCUCAACCGUGGAGGG
This 639-nucleotide ribosomal RNA is filed under the name Staphylococcus aureus. Its description in RNAcentral is "bacterial SSU rRNA". It matches the Rfam family "Bacterial small subunit ribosomal RNA", at positions 1 to 622 of the family's 1533-position model. Lineage: Bacteria; Bacillati; Bacillota; Bacilli; Caryophanales; Staphylococcaceae. The record is from RNAcentral.